Oreochromis niloticus (Nile tilapia) is the source of this 809-nucleotide long non-coding RNA. RefSeq lists it as uncharacterized. NCBI's taxonomy places the organism in Eukaryota, Metazoa, Chordata, Actinopteri, Cichliformes, Cichlidae. The transcript has 4 exons. The record is from RefSeq and is a predicted model, not a curated record.
UUUUUUUUAGUCCUGCAGCAGCAGUCUUUGGCUCAUGUGUAGAUUAUUUCUCGUCAAUCCCCUCUUUCCGCAUCCAUGGGUCAUAUUUUACUCUCAGCGUCCACAAGAGAGCACCCUUUCAUAAAUGAGACCAUCUGCGGCCAGGACGAGAGCUGACCGGGUUUUCUGCGGAAGCAAUGUCCUAGUUCUUCUAGAUCGGUGGCGGAUAGUUUGUGUGUGCAUUUCUUCACCACUAUAUCAACUCGGCCAUGAGUCUACCAUGCAUCAUUUACCAGGGGCUCUGGAGAGGCUGCGAUACAGAGCAGAGGAGAAAAGGGAAAGAAAGAAAUUCUCUGUUCACGCAGGUUGGAAGGCUGAAAGGAGCAACAGUGCUAUCCAGAACCAGAGAAUGAGAAUAAGGAGAGGAGCUGACAGAGGUGGAGACACCAAGAGACAAGCAUGUGCUGCAAAAGCAGCAUGAAGGGAGAAGCUUCUUGACAGCCACCCUUCUACUGAGCUCAUUCCUGAUGAUGCUUCAGUGAACAGUAGAUGGAUCAACUGAAGGGCCAGAAGCAUCUAUCAGGUCCUGUGUCAGGUCUGUGCUGGAUCCCCCCCCCCCUGUUUCUUAAAGACAUGACUUUUGGACACUGGUCAUCUGAUGCCACUUCUUUUUUGUCAUUCACUUGUCCAGCUUCCUCAAAUCUGAAGGAAACACUGCACACCAUGCUGAGAUAUGUCAAGUUUGACUCUUUGGGAAUCACCUUGUUGAUGCAAAAUUAAUGUCUUAUGUCUUUCAAACUGUGCUAUCCCUGGUAUUUUAUAAUAGAUUC